RNAcentral lists this ribosomal RNA (253 nucleotides) under uncultured bacterium. RNAcentral describes it as "partial 16S ribosomal RNA". It matches the Rfam family "Bacterial small subunit ribosomal RNA", at positions 524 to 776 of the family's 1533-position model. The record is from RNAcentral.
UACGUAGGGUGCAAGCGUUGUCCGGAAUUAUUGGGCGUAAAGAGCUCGUAGGCGGUCUGUCGCGUCGGCUGUGAAAUCCCGAGGCCCAACCUCGGGUCUGCAGUCGAUACGGGCAAACUAGAGUAUUGCAGGGGAGACUGGAAUUCCUGGUGUAGCGGUGAAAUGCGCAGAUAUCAGGAGGAACACCGGUGGCGAAGGCGGGUCUCUGGGCAAUAACUGACGCUGAGGAGCGAAAGCGUGGGGAGCGAACAGG